ACGUAGGGUGCAAGCGUUGUCCGGAUUUAAUGGGCGUAAAGAGCUCGUAGGCGGUUAGUCACGUCGGAUGUGAAAUCCCAGGGCUUAACCCUGGGCCUGCAUUCGAUACGGGCUGACUAGAGUGUUGUAGGGGAGACUGGAACUCCUGGUGUAGCGGUGAAAUGCGCAGAUAUCAGGAAGAACACCGGUGGCGAAGGCGGGUCUCUGGGCAACUACUGACGCUGAGGAGCGAAAGCGUGGGGAGCAAACAGG
RNAcentral lists this ribosomal RNA (252 nucleotides) under uncultured bacterium. RNAcentral describes it as "partial 16S ribosomal RNA". It matches the Rfam family "Bacterial small subunit ribosomal RNA", at positions 525 to 776 of the family's 1533-position model. The record is from RNAcentral.